GCAUGGAAGAAUUCUGUCUCACCAUGUCUGUGGUGGAGACAGUCAGACACCAUGCAAAAGCUUUCUCUCACUUCUACCAAUAACUGGAUGAAUGCUGCCCUGUGCUUCAUCCACCCUUGUGAAUUGAGGACAACA
Small nucleolar RNA from Lampris incognitus (smalleye Pacific opah), 135 nucleotides. RefSeq annotates it as small nucleolar RNA SNORA15. The transcript has a single exon. The record is from RefSeq and is a predicted model, not a curated record. NCBI's taxonomy places the organism in Eukaryota, Metazoa, Chordata, Actinopteri, Lampriformes, Lampridae.